Molecule: long non-coding RNA, 530 nt
Filed under: Pan troglodytes (chimpanzee)
Lineage: Eukaryota; Metazoa; Chordata; Mammalia; Primates; Hominidae
Description: lincRNA
Source: RNAcentral
AGCAGACGCCCUGCUAUCCUCAUCUUAGGACACCCAGUUCCCAACACAGUGCCUGCUGCAAAUUAUCAGUAAUAACAGGCCAUUAACUCCCCUGCUGGUCCCUAUCCAUGGAGCCCAUUGACAGAUGAGUUUGGUUCUGCACCUAAGAAGGACAGUUACAGACACAGAUACCUUUUAAGAAUCUUCCCUCCAGAGAAUACUAGAAAGUGUUCAGUAUGUUAAGCCCUUAGAAAUAAAUUCUGGCCGGGCGCGGUGGCUCACGCCUGUCAUCCCAGCACUUGGGGAGGCUGAGGCGGGUGGAUCACAAGGUCAGGAGAUCAAGACCAUCCUGGCUAACACGGUGACACCCCGUCUCUACUGGGCGCCUGUGGUCCCAGCUACUCGGGAGGCUGAGGCAGGAGAAUGGCGGGAACCCGGGAGGGAACCCGGGAGGCGGAGCUUGCAACGAGCCGAGAUCGCGCCACUACACUCCAGCCUGGGAUACAGAGCGAGACUACGUCUCCAAAAAAAAUAAAAAUAAAAUUUAAAAG